AUACAGGUGAGAUGUAAGGGUACAUCUGCACUGAACGUGACCGACUCUGGAGCUAUUUCUGCUGUCAAAAUUUACUCCGAUGGGAUAUGGGUAUAACUGUCUCUCUAACCUGAGACUGUCACGGUGACUUGCAAGCAACUCACUGCACUUAGGCACUGGACUACCUGAAUUUCUAAUUCAGUGAUGGAAGGCUGCUGGGUGUAGUCAAGUACUUGACUUAUCGAUACAUGCAUCAAGAUGGGAUUGACCACUCCAGUUCAGGAGCUAUGUACAGUCAUAUCUCAAUUUUAGCAAAAUCUUGGUCAGGGUAGUCCUAUUGAGGAGUCACAGGACUAUUUGAGUUGAGCACGAUUCAGAUGAUAGAAUCAGGGUUGACAGUUUAACCC
RNAcentral lists this long non-coding RNA (386 nucleotides) under Elaeis guineensis (African oil palm). Its description in RNAcentral is "long non-coding RNA (EGUI_LNC068304)". The record is from RNAcentral. Lineage: Eukaryota; Viridiplantae; Streptophyta; Magnoliopsida; Arecales; Arecaceae.